UUUGUGCUAGACUUUGUGAUCAUAUGUGCUUUGGUGACCUUGCUCCAUUCAUCUUAUUGUGAGAUGCUUGAUUUUAAUCCAAAUUGCUUGAAAUUUUGCAUGAUUGUUCUUGACAUGUUGCUGGACCUUUGAGGCUUGAUUGUGCAUUUUUCUCAUUUGCCAUUUCUGUUUUAUGCACAUGUUUUGUAGGGUGUGACAAUGUAUGUCACACAAUUGAUUGUCCAACUUGUGCAAUUUAAUUUCCAUGCCAAAUGAUCUUUGAUGCUUCUGAUUUUUU
This 277-nucleotide long non-coding RNA is filed under the name Lathyrus oleraceus (garden pea). RNAcentral describes it as "Pisum sativum (pea) long non-coding RNA (PSAT_LNC008346)". Lineage: Eukaryota; Viridiplantae; Streptophyta; Magnoliopsida; Fabales; Fabaceae. The record is from RNAcentral.